UACGAAGGGGGCUAGCGUUGUUCGGAUUUACUGGGCGUAAAGCGCACGUAGGCGGAUCGUUAAGUCGGGGGUGAAAUCCUGGAGCUCAACUCCAGAACUGCCUUCGAUACUGGCGAUCUUGAGUCCGGAAGAGGUGAGUGGAACUCCUAGUGUAGAGGUGGAAUUCGUAGAUAUUGGGAAGAACACCAGUGGCGAAGGCGGCUCACUGGUCCGGUACUGACGCUGAGGUGCGAAAGCGUGGGGGAGCAAACAGGG
Molecule: ribosomal RNA, 255 nt
Filed under: uncultured bacterium
Lineage: Bacteria
Description: partial 16S ribosomal RNA
Rfam family: Bacterial small subunit ribosomal RNA
Source: RNAcentral